UACGUAGGGGGCAAGCGUUGUCCGGAAUUAUUGGGCGUAAAGCGCGCGCAGGCGGUUUUUUAAGUCUGGUGUUUAAACCCGGGGCUCAACCUCGGGUCGCAUCGGAAACUGGGAGACUGGAGUGUAGGAGAGGGAAGUGGAAUUCCACGUGUAGCGGUGAAAUGCGUAGAGAUGUGGAGGAACACCAGUGGCGAAGGCGACUUCCUGGCCUAUAACUGACGCUGAGGCGCGAAAGCGUGGGGAGCAAACA
Molecule: ribosomal RNA, 250 nt
Filed under: uncultured bacterium
Lineage: Bacteria
Description: partial 16S ribosomal RNA
Rfam family: Bacterial small subunit ribosomal RNA
Source: RNAcentral